CCUGCAAGGGAGCUCUGAAGAAGGGCUGAGAGGGGAAACAUCCCGACCUUACCUGAUGUGGAUAAUGCCAACGUAGGGACGCAGUGA
Molecule: non-coding RNA, 87 nt
Filed under: uncultured Flavonifractor sp.
Lineage: Bacteria; Bacillati; Bacillota; Clostridia; Eubacteriales; Oscillospiraceae
Description: TPP riboswitch (THI element)
Rfam family: TPP riboswitch aptamer (THI element)
About the family: Vitamin B(1) in its active form thiamin pyrophosphate (TPP) is an essential coenzyme that is synthesised by coupling of pyrimidine and thiazole moieties in bacteria.
Source: RNAcentral